UGGGGAAUAUUGCGCAAUGGGGGGAACCCUGACGCAGCCAUGCCGCGUGAAUGAAGAAGGCCUUCGGGUUGUAAAGUUCUUUCGGUAUUGAGGAAGGUUGAUGUGUUAAUAGCACAUCAAAUUGACGUUAAAUACAGAAGAAGCACCGGCUAACUCCGUGCCAGCAGCCGCGGUAAUACGGAGGGUGCGAGCGUUAAUCGGAAUAACUGGGCGUAAAGGGCACGCAGGCGGUUAUUUAAGUGAGGUGUGAAAGCCCUGGGCUUAACCUAGGAAUUGCAUUUCAGACUGGGUAACUAGAGUACUUUAGGGAGGGGUAGAAUUCCACGUGUAGCGGUGAAAUGCGUAGAGAUGUGGAGGAAUACCGAAGGCGAAGGCAGCCCCUUGGGAAUGUACUGACGCUCGUGUGCGAAAGCGUGGGGAGCAAACAGGAUUAGAUACCCUGGUAGUCCACGCUGUAAACGCUGUCGAUUUGGGGGUUGGGGUUUAACUCUGGCGCCCGUAGCUAACGUGAUAAAUCGACCGCCUGGGGAGUACGGCCGCAAGGUUA
This 547-nucleotide ribosomal RNA is filed under the name uncultured bacterium. RNAcentral's name for it is "bacterial SSU rRNA". It matches the Rfam family "Bacterial small subunit ribosomal RNA", at positions 355 to 896 of the family's 1533-position model. The record is from RNAcentral.